AUUACUCUGACAUUUCACAUUCUUAAAAUAAAAUGGUGAUCCUAACUGACUAAGACAGGACAUUUCUACUAGGAUUAAAUGUCAGGAAUUGUGAAACUGAGUGUAAAUGUAUUUGGCUAAGGUGUAUGUAAACUUCCGACUUCAACUGUAUAUAUAAUAAUAAUAAUUAUAAUAAAAAUAAUAAUAUGGGUAAGUUUGCGUUUGAUAUGCUAAAUUACACAUUCUGUUAACAUCUGACUCCAGAGUGAUCUAUUCUAGUUUGGAUGUAGUGAACUACUUUUCCAAAGUAACUUUAGCUAAGUAAACUAUACAUUUCUUAAGGGUAGCUUUAGUGUAGUUUAACGUCUUCCAGUGUGAAGUAAUUGGUAGCUUGGUAAACUAUAUUUUCAGAGUAGCUUACCCAAAACUGAAUAGGAUGCAGACAGUUACCUUAAAUAAAUCAUAGUUAUGUGCUCUUGAUAUUGAAGCAAACUCUCACCAUAUUUGGCUGCCUUAGAUCCAGCUCCUGUAAAAUAGAGCGAUGCAAGAAACUGAAAUUAGCAUUGGCAUCAGAUGAAAUAACUUAUCCUUAAAAAAAUAAGAAUAUUUAAGUGAACUCCUUCUGUAUUUCAAACGCCAAAUGCGUAGCCAUGCAGAGUGUAGGAUGGGAGGUAGCCAGAAGGAGGGACCUGGUGGGGGGGAGGAGUGAGUGUACACAUAUCUAGCACAUUCUACACGUGUAUGAUAUGUAAGAUAUCAUGUGGAAAGAUAGGAGAAUGCCCCCACACACUGUUUAGAUGCUCUCAGAGUUUGUUGAGGACCAGAUUCAAUGUUUAUGUCAAUAUGGUCAAAAUUUUGCAACAUCAAAACAGCUAGGAGUAUUUAAAAACUUGUCAGCAAGUAUUCUCCUUUCUUUUCCUUUAUGUCUCUAACUCACCUCCUGGGUAGGCACCUCCUACUCCUAGGCCAGCCCCUGGGUACCGCCCUCCACCUGGGUAACCCCCUGGGUAUCCAUACCCACCUGAGCCAGGGACGCCCCCUGCCCCAGGUACGCCUCCUGCUCCGGCUCCGAAUCCAGGUAUGCCUCCUGCUCCACCUCCGUAACCAGGUACACCACCAGCUCCAGCUCCAACUCCAUAACCAGGGACCCCACCUGCUCCAGGUACACCGCUAGGUACUCCUCCUGCUCCGGCCAUGCCCCCUUGACGAGGUACACCACCAACUCCAUAACCAGGGACCCCAUCUGCUCCAGGUACACUGCUAGGUACUCCUCCUGCUCCGGCCAUGCCCCCUUGACGAGGUACACCACCAACUCCAUAACCAGGGACCCCAUCUGCUCCAGGUACACUGCUAGGUACUCCUCCUGCUCCGGCCAUGCCCCCUUGACGAAGUACACCUCCAGCUCCAGCUGGCCAGGGACAGACAGUUCUUAUCUUUGACUCCAAACCACACUGAACCCCCAAACACCUAGGUCCCCCACACUACAAACACUUGAGUCCCCCCACAUCAAACACCUGAGCCUCUCCACACCAAACACCUGAAUCCCCCCAGACCACAAAUACCUGAGUCUCCCCACACCACAAACACCUGAGUGCCCCCUGACCACAAACAACUAAGUUUCCCUAUUCCCCAAACAUGUGAGUCUCCCCACACAACAAACACCUAGGUUCCCCACACUACAAACACUUGAGCCCCCCCACAUCACAAACACCUGAGCCUCUCCACACCAAACACCUGAAUCCCCCCAGACCACAAACACCUGAAUCAUUCAAUACCUGGGUAAUAAAACCUGUUAUGUCACCAAACGUACACUUACCAUCUUCCUAAGGACUAGUUCAUCUAGUCUUACCGUAAACCUACCAACUACCACUUUCCUAAAGGAUGAAUUAUUAAUUCAGUCUUACCAUAUUUAGCAGCAAGCUUGGCCUGGGAAUUAGCUGAUUUGCCUCCAGCCCCUAAAAAUGGAAGAGAAGAAGAGGACAAAGAGGAGGAAUGAAAUAAGCAAAGGAAGAGAAAUAGCAGGGUAAUAGAUAUGGAUUGUGGAUUGUUGUAGUAGUUUUCUAGUGUCCCAACCUGGUCUCAGAGCAUUUCAUAUUAUUCUGUACGUAAAUACGGGACACUCAAUUUAUAGUGAACAAAAUGUCAAGUGUUGGUCCCAUGUUUCAUGAGCUGAAAUAAAAUAAUCUCAGAAAUGUUUCAUUUGCACAAAAAGCUAAUUUCUCUCAAAUGUUGUGCACAAAUUUGUUUACAUCUGUUAGUGAUCCUUUGCCAAGAUUAUUCCAUCCACCUGACAGGUGUGGCACAUAAAGGAGCUGAUUAAACAGCAUGAUCAU
This 2312-nucleotide long non-coding RNA is filed under the name Salmo salar (Atlantic salmon). RNAcentral describes it as "lncRNA (ENSSSAG00000092909.1)". The record is from RNAcentral. Lineage: Eukaryota; Metazoa; Chordata; Actinopteri; Salmoniformes; Salmonidae.